This 508-nucleotide ribosomal RNA is filed under the name uncultured bacterium. RNAcentral describes it as "partial 16S ribosomal RNA". The record is from RNAcentral.
GGAGUUAGCCGGUGCUUCUUCUGUGAGUGAUGUCCUUCCUGCCGGCUAUUAACCCGCAGGCCUUCUUCCUCACUGAAAGUGCUUUACAACCCGAAGGCCUUCUUCACACACGCGGCAUGGCUGGAUCAGGGUUGCCCCCAUUGUCCAAUAUUCCCCACUGCUGCCUCCCGUAGGAGUCUGGGCCGUGUCUCAGUCCCAGUGUGGCUGAUCAUCCUCUCAGACCAGCUACGGAUCGUCGCCUUGGUGAGCCGUUACCUCACCAACCAGCUAAUCCGACAUAGGCUCAUCCGAUAGCGCGAGGCCCGAAGGUCCCCCGCUUUCCCCCGUAGGGCGUAUGCGGUAUUAGCCUGGGUUUCCCCAGGUUAUCCCCCACUACCGGGCAGAUUCCUAUGCAUUACUCACCCGUCCGCCGCUCGCCACCAGGGAGCAAGCUCCCCGUGCUGCCGCUCGACUUGCAUGUGUUAGGCCUGCCGCCAGCGUUCAAUCUGAGCCAUAAUCAAACCUCUGA